GGGGGAUAUUGCGCAAUGGGGGCAACCCUGACGCAGCAACGCCGCGUGAAGGAUGAAGGUUUUCGGAUUGUAAACUUCUUUUAUUAAGGACGAAACUUGACGGUACUUAAUGAAUAAGCUCCGGCUAACUACGUGCCAGCAGCCGCGGUAAUACGUAGGGAGCAAGCGUUGUCCGGAUUUACUGGGUGUAAAGGGUGCGUAGGCGGCUUUGCAAGUCAGAUGUGAAAUCUAUGGGCUCAACCCAUAAACUGCAUUUGAAACUGUAGAGCUUGAGUGAAGUAGAGGCAGGCGGAAUUCCCCGUGUAGCGGUGAAAUGCGUAGAGAUGGGGAGGAACACCAGUGGCGAAGGCGGCCUGCUGGGCUUUAACUGACGCUGAGGCACGAAAGCGUGGGUAGCAAACAGGAUUAGAUACCCUGGUAGUCCACGCUGUAAACGAUGAUUACUAGGUGUGGGGGGUCUGACCCCUUCCGUGCCGGAGUUAACACAAUAAGUAAUCCACCUGGGGAGUACGGCCGCAAGGUUGAAACUCAAAGGAAUUGACGGGGGCCCGCACAAGCAGUGGAGUAUGUGGUUUAAUUCGAAGCAACGCGAAGAACCUUACCAGGUCUUGACAUCCAACUAACGAAGUAGAGAUACAUUAGGUGCCCUUCGGGGAAAGUUGAGACAGGUGGUGCAUGGUUGUCGUCAGCUCGUGUCGUGAGAUGUUGGGUUAAGUCCCGCAACGAGCGCAACCCUUGCUAUUAGUUGCUACGCAAGAGCACUCUAAUAGGACUGCCGUUGACAAAACGGAGGAAGGUGGGGACGACGUCAAAUCAUCAUGCCCCUUAUGACCUGGGCUACACACGUACUACAAUGGAUGUUAACAGAGGGAAGCAAGACAGCGAUGUGGAGCAAACCCCUAAAAACAUUCUCAGUUCAGAUUGCAGGCUGCAACCCGCCUGCAUGAAGAUGGAAUUGCUAGUAAUCGCAGAUCAGCGUGCUGCGGUGAAUACGUUCCCG
This 1000-nucleotide ribosomal RNA is filed under the name uncultured bacterium. RNAcentral's name for it is "bacterial SSU rRNA". It matches the Rfam family "Bacterial small subunit ribosomal RNA", at positions 356 to 1376 of the family's 1533-position model. The record is from RNAcentral. RNAcentral also lists the same sequence under 1 other name.